AGUGAACGCUGGCGGUAGGCCUAACACAUGCAAGUCGAACGGCAGCACAGUAAGAGCUUGCUCUUACGGGUGGCGAGUGGCGGACGGGUGAGGAAUACAUCGGAAUCUACUUUUUCGUGGGGGAUAACGUAGGGAAACUUACGCUAAUACCGCAUACGACCUACGGGUGAAAGCAGGGGAUCUUCGGACCUUGCGCGAUUGAAUGAGCCGAUGUCGGAUUAGCUAGUUGGCGGGGUAAAGGCCCACCAAGGCGACGAUCCGUAGCUGGUCUGAGAGGAUGAUCAGCCACACUGGAACUGAGACACGGUCCAGACUCCUACGGGAGGCAGCAGUGGGGAAUAUUGGACAAAGGGCGCAAGCCUGAUCCAGCCAUACCGCGUGGGUGAAGAAGGCCUUCGGGUUGUAAAGCCCUUUUGUUGGGAAAGAAAAGCAGCAGGUUAAUACCCCGCUGUUCUGACGGUACACAAAGAAUAAGCACCGGCUAACUUCGUG
RNAcentral lists this ribosomal RNA (492 nucleotides) under uncultured bacterium. RNAcentral's name for it is "partial 16S ribosomal RNA". It matches the Rfam family "Bacterial small subunit ribosomal RNA", at positions 29 to 507 of the family's 1533-position model. The record is from RNAcentral.